UGCGUAGGCGGUUUUCUAAGUCACGUGUGAAAUCUUUCGGCUCAACCGGAAAACUGCGCGUGAUACUGGAGAACUUGAGUGAGGUAGGGGUGUGUGGAACUUCCGGUGGAGCGGUGAAAUGUGUAGAGAUCGGAAGGAACGCCAGCAGCGAAAGCGGCACACUGGGCCUUUUCUGACGCUGAGGCACGAAAGCUAGGGGAGUGAACG
Molecule: ribosomal RNA, 207 nt
Filed under: uncultured bacterium
Lineage: Bacteria
Description: partial 16S ribosomal RNA
Rfam family: Bacterial small subunit ribosomal RNA
Source: RNAcentral